Molecule: small RNA, 487 nt
Filed under: Pan troglodytes (chimpanzee)
Lineage: Eukaryota; Metazoa; Chordata; Mammalia; Primates; Hominidae
Description: retained intron
Source: RNAcentral
UAUGUGGAUCUUUAUAUCAUUGAAGUACCCAUGGCCUUUAAGCCAGGAGAUGAAAUAUACCCUAGAGAUGAGAAUGGCAAAUGGUUAUAUCACAAGUCAAAUCUGUGUGCCACUUGGGAGGUAAGUUCAAAUGUGCUUCUUAUUUUAAAAGACAAUAUUUUUAAACCUGUGAUCUGAUUAUUCCUGUCAUAUUUAUGGAGAGAGAUGCACCCUUUACUUUCAAUGAAAAGUAACAGUCAGAACAGGCAUUCCUAACCAUAAGUACAGGCAUAUGAAAUCUCCACUUCUGGGUACUAAAUAAUUCUUACUUUUGUUUUGCUGGAAUGCCAAAGAAAAGAGAGAGGGGUGGAAGGAAAAACAGUGUAAACAAAAUAUGUUCUAAUAUAAAAGUAAUUAGAAUAUAUGAAUAAGAUAAAUUCACAAAUUAAAAAAUAUAUAUCAAGUUGUUAAUAUGAUGCCUACAAGAAACAAACUUAAAAUGAUACAU